UCGCCUGUUUUCAAAAACAUGGCCUCUUGAUAGAUGUAUUGGAGGUUUGGCCUGCCCACUGAAGAUUUUUGAAGGGCCGCGGUAUUUUGACCGUGCGAAGGUAGCAUAAUCAUUAGUCUUUUAAUUGAAGGCUGGAAUGAAUGGUUGGACGAGGCACUGACUGUCUCAUGGUGAUUGAGUGAUAGAAUUUAACAUUUGAGUGAAAAGGCUUAAAUGGAUUUAGAGGACGAGAAGACCCUAUAGAGCUUGACAUUGAGGUUUUGGUGGGUGUGAAGGUGAUUUAACCUAUGAUUAGUCCUCAGUGUUUUAUUGGGGUGAUAGGAAGAUAGAAGAAACUCUUUUUAGUUUAAAGACAUUGAUUAGUGGAUGAUUGAUCCGUUAGUAGUGAUUAUAAGACUAAGUUACCUUAGGGAUAACAGCGUAAUUUUUUUUGAGAGAUCUUAUCGACAAAAAAGGUUGCGACCUCGAUGUUGGAUUAAGGAAAUACUUGGGUGCAGAUGUUCAAGUGUUAGGUCUGUUCGACCUUUGAAUCCUUACAUGAUCUGAGUUCCAAACCGGAGA
This 561-nucleotide ribosomal RNA is filed under the name Pictetoperla sp. BYU_PL156. Its description in RNAcentral is "partial 16S ribosomal RNA". It matches the Rfam family "Bacterial large subunit ribosomal RNA", at positions 1796 to 2624 of the family's 2925-position model. The record is from RNAcentral. Lineage: Eukaryota; Metazoa; Arthropoda; Insecta; Plecoptera; Perlidae.